Molecule: ribosomal RNA, 505 nt
Filed under: uncultured bacterium
Lineage: Bacteria
Description: partial 16S ribosomal RNA
Rfam family: Bacterial small subunit ribosomal RNA
Source: RNAcentral
GACGAACGCUGGCGGCGUGCCUAAUACAUGCCAGUAGAACGCACAGUUUAUACCGUAGCUUGCUACACCAUAGACUGUGAGUUGCGAACGGGUGAGUAACGCGUAGGUAACCUGCCUGGUAGCGGGGGAUAACUAUUGGAAACGAUAGCUAAUACCGCAUAAUAUUGAUUAUUGCAUGAUAAUUAAUUGAAAGGUGCAAUUGCACCACUACCAGAUGGACCUGCGUUGUAUUAGCUAGUAGGUGAGGUAACGGCUCACCUAGGCGACGAUACAUAGCCGACCUGAGAGGGUGAUCGGCCACACUGGGACUGAGACACGGCCCAGACUCCUACGGGAGGCAGCAGUAGGGAAUCUUCGGCAAUGGACGAAAGUCUGACCGGGCAACGCCGCGUGAGUGAAGAAGGGUUUCGGAUCGUAAAGCUCUGUUGUAAGAGAAGAACGGGUGUGAGAGUGGAAAGUUCACACUGUGACGGUAUCUUACCAGAAAGGGACGGCUAACUACGUG